This 373-nucleotide unclassified non-coding RNA is filed under the name uncultured Actinomycetes bacterium. Its description in RNAcentral is "uncultured actinobacterium contains 16S-23S intergenic spacer region". The record is from RNAcentral. Lineage: Bacteria; Bacillati; Actinomycetota; Actinomycetes.
UCCGGUUUGGCACCGGCAGUCUCCUAUGAGUCCCCGACAUGACUCGCUGGCAACAUAGGACAGGGGUUGCGCUCGUUGCGCCACUUAAGGCAACACCUCACGGCACGAGCUGACGACAGCCAUGCACCACCUGUGCGGGCUCCGAAGAGCACCGUGUUUCCACGGUUUCACCCCGCAUGUCAAGCCCUGGUAAGGUUCUUCGCGUUGCGUCGAAUUGAACCACAUGCUCCGCCGCUUGUGCGGGCCCCCGUCAAUUCCUUUGAGUUUCAGUCUUGCGACCGUACUCCCCAGGCGGAGUGCUUAAUGCGUUAGCUUCGGCACUGAGGGUGGUACCCCCCAACACCUAGCACUCAUCGUUUACGGCGUGGACUAC